RNAcentral lists this ribosomal RNA (252 nucleotides) under uncultured bacterium. RNAcentral describes it as "partial 16S ribosomal RNA". It matches the Rfam family "Bacterial small subunit ribosomal RNA", at positions 524 to 776 of the family's 1533-position model. The record is from RNAcentral.
UACGUAGGGACCAAGCGUUGUUCGGAUUUACUGGGCGUAAGGGCGCGUAGGCGGCAUGACAAGUCACUUGUGAAAUCUCCGGGCUUAACUCGGAACGGUCAAGUGAUACUGUCGCGCUAGAGUGCGGAAGGGGCAAUCAGAAUUCUUGGUGUAGCGGUGAAAUGCGUAGAUAUCAAGAGGAAUACCUGAGGUGAAGACGGGUUGCUAGGCCGACACUGACGCUGAAGCGCGAAAGCCAGGGGAGCAAACGGG